RNAcentral lists this unclassified non-coding RNA (378 nucleotides) under uncultured Oligoflexales bacterium. Its description in RNAcentral is "contains 16S-23S intergenic spacer region". The record is from RNAcentral. Lineage: Bacteria; Pseudomonadati; Bdellovibrionota; Oligoflexia; Oligoflexales.
UCCGGUUUAACACCGGCGGUCUCCCUAGAGUGCCCAACUAAAUGAUGGCAACUAGGGACAAGGGUUGCGCUCGUUAAGGGACUUAACCCGACAUCUCACGAUACGAGCUGACGACAGCCAUGCAGCACCUGAACCGUACGCUCCCGAAGGAGAAAGUCUAUCUCUAGACCUGUCGUACGUUGUCUAACCCAGGUAAGGUUUUUCGCGUUGCAUCGAAUUAAACCACAUGCUCCACCGCUUGUGCGGGCCCCCGUCAAUUCCUUUGAGUUUUAACCUUGCGGCCGUACUUCCCAGGCGGGGUACUUAAUGCGUUAGCUUCGGCACUGCGGGGGUCAAUUCCCACAACACCUAGUACCCAUCGUUUACAGCGUGGACUAC